UUGCCUUCGGCUGGCAGUUCCGCCUCCACACAGAAGCCCGUCAAAAAAACACCUUCAUAAAUAUUGUAACAGAAGAGGGGGGAGGUGAGCAUGGAACAGGUAAGAUGUAGCUAACUGUGCAGAAAUCUUGUCUCUCUUAACACACUUGCAAGCCUCAAUAGGAAACAGGAUUACUUCGGUUAAAUGGAAGCUGGUCCGUGAGGGCAAAAAAAGCUCUUCCCCACCAACCUCAGCCCAUCUGCUUCCCUUCUUGCUUACAACCAGUUUUGAGGGUGGCACUGCCUGGCAGCUUCUUCCUCCUUAAGACUCAUCCAUACUGCGGUUUAAUGUUGAUUCUAAGUGUGUCUUGCACCUCCCUUAAUUCCAUAUGCUGUUCUCCUCCAAAUCACUGUCUUCCCACACUUUCCCCUUCCUUCCUUGAUCUGGAUUUUCCCAUGCUGCUCUCCUUACCCCUGCUAGGGGGAAAGCCAGACCAAGGGAAAUGAAAUCCUGGGAAGGCAACGAUUUGGAAGAGAACGCCAUAUGGACAAUGGAACAUUCAUGGAGGUAUGCGAAGCACUUAGUAUCCACUUUAAACAACAGUAUGGAUGAGCCCCGCAUCUCCGCGUCACCCUUGUGCAACUCAAGCAGGGAGGAGGAUGGGGACAAAACUAGGAUUAGUUGGCCCUGCCUGUCAUUGGCUCAGUCUCCUGUCUGUCUUUAGCUCUGGCUCCACCUACUGUUGGGCUCCAUGCCUUUCACCCCACCAGUCCCAGUGAGCAACAACCACCACAGAUUCAGUUAUUGUUAUGUUUUUGUUCCAGCAGAUUCCAGAUCAGAAUAGCAUCUCAUAACACCAUGCCUGUGUGGGAGGCUGGGUUGCCUAGCGAGUAAAAUCUUGAAUCAUGGAGACCAUGGAUCAUACUUGGUCUCCUUCCAUGGGCUUGACAUCUGGGCCUUCAGCAAAGUCAGUGGAAGUUUUUCAGGUGAGGAGAAGGAUGAUGUGUUGUUGCUAUAAGAAUACAGUCGUACCUCGGGAUACAGACGCUUCAGGUUACAGACGCUUCAAGUUACAGACUCCGCUAACCCAGAAAUAGUACCUCGGGUUAAGAACUUUGCUUCAGGAUGAGAACAGAAAUCAUGCAGCGGCAGCGGGAGGCCCCAUUAGCUAAAGUGGUACUUCAGGUCGAGAACAGUUUCAGGGUAAGAACGGACCUCCAGAACGAAUUGAGUUCUUAACCCGAGGUACCACUGUAUAAGGAGAGUCUGCAGGAUCAGGCCCGUGGCCCAUCUAAUCCAGCAUCCUUUUCUCACAGUGGCCACCCAGAGGCUUGUGGGAAUCCCUCAGGCAGGACAUUAGCACAAGACCACUUUCCCCUCCUGUGGUCUCCAGCAACUUGUAUUCAGAGCAUUACUGCCUCUGAGAUGGUCCUUUUCAGGUGGGGUGGGGGAAAACAGCAACAGCCAAUGCUUCUCCCAGUCUACUCUCUCCCUUCCCCGCCCCCUACCUUCCCUUUGGCGACCUGGCUGCUCAACAUGGGAGAGAAUCACAUAUCCUUUUAUGUUUAUGUUUAUUUUUUUAAGCCCGGGCCAGUGGAAAUCAAUAGCGUUGUGGCAGUCUCCUCUACAGAGCGGCGUCUUUCCAUGGGAUUUUCACAAAAGACCUUUCUAGUUACAUGUCAGAAAGGCGAGUUAUUUAUUCUAAUUUCCUCUCAGCCUGCCUGAGCAGCAGAAGCAUCUGCCUGCCUCCCUGGCUCUCUGCCCCCUCUGGGAAAUUCAUAGCGAUGAGGUAUUUGCGCCCUGGAAUCGAUGGUGCGAAAUGAAUUAUUGGCAGCUUUCUCAAAUCGGAGCCGCUGCUUUUUCUCUGUAGCUGUGGCUGCCUCAGCCCUGCUGAAGCUGGGAGCUGUCAUCACCAGAACCUGCGGUGACCCAGCCUACUGCAGAAACACUCGCAGGGUGCUGUGUUUCAGCACAGCUGUGAUACUAGUUUCCUUGAUCUAGACUGACACAAGCAGGAUACUGGCUGGAGCAGAAACGUUAUGGCUCAGAACAUCCAUUCCACCCACUCUCUCUUUGUAGAUCUCCGGUGUGUGUUUUAUUAUCUUAUCCACCAUGAGCCAUUGGAAGUGAGUGAAGUCAGAGCUCAGGUAUAACACUAUUAGCCAGUGGUGUGGAGUGAAAUUUUUUGUAGGGCCACAGAGGCACCAGCUUGUGAGGGCGAUUGUGGGGCCCAACAUUGCAUGUGUGACAUUGUGACGUCCUGACAUCACACAUGUGAGCAUCAUGCCUCCCUCCCUAAGCUGGGCAGAAGCUUCACGGGUUUGGGGAAGGAAGCGCAAGGCUUUAAUACUUGAAUACUCUAAUUUACCAGGAACAUUUAGGGAACUAGCCUAGCCCCCCUAGUCUAUUGACCGCACACCGCCGCUAAAAGCACACCUGUCAUACAAAUGCAGAGUCACAACUUGCAUUUUUUAUUUUAUAAAAGCAAAAUUUAUACAGUGGUACCUCGGGUUAAGUACUUAAUUCGUCCAGAGGACCGUUCUUAACCUGAAACUGUUCUUAACCUGAAGCACCACUUUAGCUAAUGGGGCCUCCCGCUGCUGCCGCGCCGCCGGAGCACAAUUUCUGUUCUCAUCCUGAAGCAAAGUUCUUAACCCGAGGUACUAUUUCUGGGUUAGCAGAGUCUGUAACCUGAAGCGUAUGUAACCUGAAACGUAUGUAACCCGAGGUACCACUGUAUACCAAUGAAUUGUAACAGAAGCUUAAAGCAGCUUAUUAAUUUACAAGUCUUGCAGGACAUUGUUCCUGUUCUUGUGGUUCAGGAAGUCCAGUCCCCAUUUUUAGGAGGGGGGAAAACAAAUUCAUGCAUGGUGUGCCUUAAUCUUCACAAACACUUUUAAAGCAAUUAUUAACAGCUUCGUGACUGAGUGGGAACUUCAACCCAGUCGCAAUCCAACAUUCAAUGAAAGUGUGCAGGUGAUUGAAGAGGAGGGUAGGUCAAUGACAGUACAAGUACAGUCGUACCUUGAAAGUCGAAUGGAAUCCGUUCCGGAAGUCCAUUUGACUUCCAAAACAUUCAGAAACCAAAGUGUGGCUUCUGACUGGCUGUAGGAAGCUCCUGCAGCCAAUCAGAAGCCACAGAAGCCCUGUUGGACGUUCAGCUUCCAAAAAUACAGUAGUUCACAAACCAGAACAGUCACUUCCAGGUCUGCAGCAUUCGGGAGCCAAAACAUUCAAGAACUAAGCUGUUUGAAAACCAAGGUCCGACUGUACUACCAAUAGCCAUUUGGCAGAGCCAACUUUUCCCUGACAAGCUGGAAACCUAGGUAACGUUUCCCAGAGCUCAGUUUCAGACAGAACAUAGAAAGCUGCCCUAUACUGAGUCAGACUGCUGGCUCCUGUAGUUCAGUAUCAUGUACACCGACUGGCAGCAGUCAAAGGUGGAUUUAGGGCAGCGCAACUGGUUCCUCUGCACGGGGCACUGGGCCAGGGGGGCACCGCAGGGCGCCACUGCUAUGAUGUAGUGCACAUGCAAAACAGAAGGCAAGUGGCAGGGGGCACCGUAUGUUGACCUUGCACAGGGCACCACUGAAAUUUGGAAGACCAAAGUCUGCCCCCCCCCCCGCAGCAGCAAUCUGGAGCUUGAGACAGGGAUCCUUUCCCAGCCCCGCCUGCAGAUUCCAGGUAUUGAAUCUGGACUGUCUGCCUUGGUCAGACCACACCUUGAGCAAUGUGUCCAAUUCUGGGCACCACAGUUUAAGAAGGAUAUAUAUUGAUAAGUUGGAAUGUGUGCAGAGGAGGGCAACCAAAACAAUCAAGGGUCUGGAAAGGAAGCCUUAUGAGGAAAGGUUGAGGGAGUUGAGUAUGUUUGGCCUGGAUAAGAGGAGACUGUGAUGAGAUAUGAUGGCUAUCUUCAAAUAUCUAAAAAGUUGUCACAUGGAAGAUGAAGGAAGCUUGUUUUCUGCUGCUCUGGAGGACAGGACCCAAACCAAGGGCUUCAAGUUACAAGAAAGGAGAUUCUGACUAAACAUCCAAGAGAGCUUUAUAAUGAUAAGAGUUGUUCAAUAGCGGAACAGACUCCCUCAGAUGGUGGUGGACUCUCCUUCAUUGGAGGUUGUUAAGCAGAGGUUGGGUGGCCUUCUUUUCUGGAUGCUUUUGUUGAGAUUCCUGCAUUUCAAGGGAUUUUGGUCUAGAUGACCCAUGGGGUCACUUCCAACCCUACAAUUCUAUGAUUCUAUAAUUAUGCCCGUUGUCUUUGUCCAUGGAGUUUUCUUGGCAGGGAUACUGGAGUGGCUUGCCAGUUCCUGCUCCAAGUGGAUCACGUUUGGUCAAAACUCUCCACUAUGAUCUGUCCAUCUUGGGUGCCCUGCUCGGCAUCGUUCAUAGCUUCUCUGAGUUAUUCAAGCCCCUUCGCCAUGGCAAGGCAGUGAUCCAUGAAGGAGAAGGACAGAUCCUGAAGCUGAGACCCCAAUACUUUGGCCACCUCAUGAGAAGAGAAGACUCCCUGGAAAAGACCCUGAUGUUGGGAAAGAUGGAGGGCACAAGGAGAAGGGGACGACAGAGGACAGGAUGGUUGGACAGUGUUCUCGAAGCUACCAGCAUGAGUUUGACCAAACUGCGGGAGGCAGUGGAAGACAGGAGUGCCUGGCGUGCUGUGGUCCAUGGGGUCAUGAAGAGUUGGACACGACUAAACGACUAAACAACAGCAACAUAAUUAUGCCCAAUUCAGAACAUCCAAAGAGAGGAACAAACAAUCCAAACGUGGCUCUGAAGGUUACCUGCCUGCAUUCCUGAUUAAUGUGUGUUGGCAUAUUUUCUCAUCCACCAAAAAGUAACCUGCAUAAAUAAAAGUUACUGGAAGACUUGAUGUUGCUGAUCAACAGACUUUGUGCACAAGGGAAUUCCUGCGAGGAGGCUGCCCAGCAAGGAAAUAGCAUUGCAUCCCUUCAAAUGUUAAAGCUCACCCAGAAAAGAACUGGAGAGGAUCAGAUGCAAAGUCCUUUCCAAGAUCCCCAUUGCUUUUAAUGGGCUUUGAAUCAGUCUCUAAUUGAUUCUCACCUGUUGAGUUGCAUUGGGACGCGGCCUCUUUUACGGCUGAACUUAGAGCAACGCAACUGAGAAGGCCGAAGGCUUUCUGACCUGUUGCUCGGAGCUAAUUUUUUUAAUGAUAGCAUCCAUUUCGCCUGCAGCCUUCGCUUCAGAACUUAAACAGCUUGUCAGAUUUCCCCGCUGCCCCUUCUUAAACACAGCUAAAAUAUGAAGUUCCCACUGAGCUUAGCUUCGCUGCGUGUUGAAUGGCUGAUGGCCAAGUAACCUGCAACAAGAUGAGAUAAUGAGAGAAAAUCCGACAGACUGUGAAAUCCGAACGGCACACCACUGAGCGUGGCUCAAGGCUGCGAGGAACGGCAGAGAGAGAACAGGCAUCUCUGCAGAACUUGAGCGAGGCUGAUCAGGAACUGGGGCUCACCUGGGAUUAGCCUCUGAACCUGUUUUUCAUGCCAAAACUCAGCCCAGAAACAUAUAAUGUACCAAUAAGAAGGGGAGAAAAGGCUGGUGUUUUCUGUUUCACUGAGUAACUGUAACCAGCAGGUCUACGUAAGAACUGGAUCAGGCCAAAGGUCCCUUUUCUCCAAGGGAAACUGCCUUGUAUCAGGUCAGAACAGGUAUCCAGUUGAGUAUAGUCUACACCAGAGGUAGCCAACAUGGUGCCUUCUAGUUGCUGCUGGGCCACAACUCCCAUCAGCUCCCAUGCACAUGGCCAACGUUCAAGGAUGGUUGACAUUGUAGGCCAGCCACAUCUGGGAAGACACCAGAUUGGCUGCCUCUGCUUAACACUGACUAUCAACAGCUCUCCAAGUUUUCAGGACAGGGAACUUCCCAGUCCUACCUGCAGAUGCUGUGGAUUGAACCCGUCCAGACACAUUUUGCAUGCAAAGCAGAUGCUUUGCCACUGAGCAAUGGCCUUGCCCUUGACAAAUAACUAAGAUUCCAGUCCUCAUGGUUCUGAAGAUUUAGAUAUGAACAGAGGAGCUGCCUAAGACCAAGCUCACUGGGUCAGUCGUCAUAUCUCAGCCUCACCAACCUCACAAGGGUUCCUUUAAGGAUAGAAUGGGUGGGAGAGAACAAUGUAUGUUCUUCUUGAGCUCCUUAGAGGAAAGGCGGGGUGUAAUUAAUUAAUUAUCAGAACCUCUUCAGUUUGUCCUGAACCUCCUGCCGUUCAAUUAGGGGCAUCAGGCUGGGGGAGGCUGCUGUAGAAUCAAAGAACCUGGGUAAUUGAAGUCUAUGCCACUGAUCCGCUCCACCAUCUAUUUCCAAAAUGAACAAUAAUGGUGCUUUAAUGGAGAAUAGUUAUUUCCCCACGUCAGUUCAUUAAUCCGUCGCCACUGCAAGCUCAUUACAACCACCCAGAUUCGGUGACGUUAAUGAAUGAGUUUACCCAUGGAAGGUCCUGAACCGAACGACUUCAAGAAAGGAAGUUGUCUCGCGUGAGGGAUGGCUGUUUACUGCUGAAUGCACAGAGCAGAGCCAGUUCAAGUUUGUUAACGCACAGGCCACUUGGAAAGCCUAACACAAUCCCGGAGGGCUGUGGCUAAUUAUAUAUUUGGUUUUCCUGCAGGUGGGCUGGAUUUGCAUGUCAUUUGCAUGAAAAUGGCGGGUGCCAGCUGGUGGGCAGGCUGUAUUUAUUUGGGGAUCCAUGAUAGAGCAUGGAGCCAUUUCAUCUAAAUCCCGAAAUGUGCUCAGAAUUCAUGUGAUCUGAAAUGCUGAGUAAUUCCAGGCUGUUAUUAUUUACGGGUGGCAUUCAACGGCUUAGGCCCCAUCUGCUCUAUACAUUUAUAACAGCGUAUCAUGUCUCUUUAAACAGUCAUGGCUUCCCUCCAAAGAAUCCUGAGAACUGCAGUUUGCUAAGGGCAUUGAAAGUUGUUCGGUGACCCCUGUUCCCCUGAUAGAGCUACAAUCCCUAGAAUAUUCUGUCUGUCCCGCCCCUCUUUGACACAAAAGCUUCCUCACUACUAGAACUCUGUAGUCUCAUCUUAAAGGUAAUGGUAAAGGGACCCCUGACCAUUAGGACCGACUCUGGGUUUGCGGCGCUCAUCUCGCUUUAUUGGCCGAGGGAGCCGGCGUACAGCUUCUGGGUCAUGUGGCCAGCAUGACUAAGCCGCUUCUGGAGAACCAGAGCAGCGCACGGAAACGCCGUUUACCUUCCCGCCGGAGCGGUACCUAUUUAUCUACUUGCACUUUGACGUGCUUUCGAACUGCUAGGUUGGCAGGAGCAGGGACCGAGCAACGGGAGCUCACCCCGUCACGAGGAUUCGAACCGCCGACUCUCUGAUCGGCAAGUCCUAGGCUCUGUGGUUUAACCCACAGCGCCACCCGCAUCCCCAGUCUCAUCUUAGGAGACUGCUUAUUUUGCUACCAAGUCAUCACAGCACAAGGAACAAUGUUGUCUAUCCAGGGCUGUCCCAAGACAUUUUGGCACCUGAGGCAAACCACAACAUAGCUCCCCCCCUCCCCCGUCAGGGAAGAAGAGUGGAGUGGAGAUCUACAUCAGGAACAAGGAGGGAAUAAAGAACUACAUUGAGACCUGCUGCUCUUGUGAAUCCUGCUGCCUGAGGCGGUCACCUUACCUUGCCUCAUGGGUGGGCCGGCCCUGUGUCUGUCACUGGUGAGCUUCAGGGGCUCCUUCUUAGUCAGCCUUGUCUGUACAGUACUCUCUUCAAAUGAUGUCCUUGAAAGAGGCAACGACUCAUCAGCAUCC
Molecule: non-coding RNA, 7735 nt
Organism: Podarcis lilfordi (Lilford's wall lizard)
Lineage: Eukaryota; Metazoa; Chordata; Lepidosauria; Squamata; Lacertidae
Source: the annotation of a GenBank genome assembly